RNAcentral lists this ribosomal RNA (492 nucleotides) under uncultured bacterium. Its description in RNAcentral is "partial 16S ribosomal RNA". It matches the Rfam family "Bacterial small subunit ribosomal RNA", at positions 29 to 507 of the family's 1533-position model. The record is from RNAcentral.
AGUGAACGCUGGCGGUAGGCCUAACACAUGCAAGUCGAACGGCAGCACAGUAAGAGCUUGCUCUUACGGGUGGCGAGUGGCGGACGGGUGAGGAAUACAUCGGAAUCUACUUUUUCGUGGGGGAUAACGUAGGGAAACUUACGCUAAUACCGCAUACGACCUACGGGUGAAAGCAGGGGAUCUUCGGACCUUGCGCGAUUGAAUGAGCCGAUGUCGGAUUAGCUAGUUGGCGGGGUAAAGGCCCACAAAGGCGACGAUCCGUAGCUGGUCUGAGAGGAUGAUCAGCCACACUGGAACUGAGACACGGUCCAGACUCCUACGGGAGGCAGCAGUGGGGAAUAUUGGACAAUGGGCGCAAGCCUGAUCCAGCCAUACCGCGUGAGUGAAGAAGGCCUUCUGGUUGUAAAGCCCUUUUGUUGGGAAAGAAAAGCAGCAGGUUAAUACCCCGCUGUUCUGACGGUACCCAAAGAAUAAGCACCGGCUAACUUCGUG